CUAACAAUACAGAGAAGAUUAGCAUGGCCCCUGUGCAAGGAGGACACACAAAUUUAUGAAGCAUUCCAUAUUUUU
RNAcentral lists this small nuclear RNA (75 nucleotides) under Neotoma lepida (desert woodrat). Lineage: Eukaryota; Metazoa; Chordata; Mammalia; Rodentia; Cricetidae. The record is from RNAcentral.